AUAUCAAUAAGCGGAGGAGAAGAAACUAACCAGGAUUCCUUAGUAGCGGCGAGCGAACCGGGAAGUGCCCAACUUGUAAAUCUCCAGCUCGCAGCUGGCGAAUUGUAGUCUAGAGAAGCGCCCUCUGCGGCAGCUCGGCCUCAAGUCCCUUGGAAGAGGGUGUCAGAGAGGGUGAGAACCCCGUCGGCGCCGAGGCCUGCCGCUCCACGAGACGCUUUCCUCGAGUCGGGUUGUUUGGGAAUGCAGCCCAAAGUCGGUGGUAAAUCCCAUCUAAGGCUAAAUAUGGACGGGAGACCGAUAGCGCACAAGUA
This 311-nucleotide ribosomal RNA is filed under the name uncultured Fusochloris. Its description in RNAcentral is "partial large subunit ribosomal RNA". It matches the Rfam family "Eukaryotic large subunit ribosomal RNA", at positions 40 to 350 of the family's 3401-position model. The record is from RNAcentral. Lineage: Eukaryota; Viridiplantae; Chlorophyta; Trebouxiophyceae; Microthamniales.